UUAAGCGACUAAGCGUACACGGUGGAUGCCCUGGCAGUCAGAGGCGAUGAAGGACGUGCUAAUCUGCGAUAAGCGUCGGUAAGGUGAUAUGAACCGUUAUAACCGGCGAUUUCCGAAUGGGGAAACCCAGUGUGAUUCGUCACACUAUCAUUAACUGAAUCCAUAGGUUAAUGAGGCGAACCGGGGGAACUGAAACAUCUAAGUACCCCGAGGAAAAGAAAUCAACCGAGAUUCCCCCAGUAGCGGCGAGCGAACGGGGAGCAGCCCAGAGCCUGAAUCAGUGUGUGUGUUAGUGGAAGCGUCUGGAAAGGCGCGCGAUACAGGGUGACAGCCCCGUACACAAAAAUGCACAUACUGUGAGCUCGAUGAGUAGGGCGGGACACGUGGUAUCCUGUCUGAAUAUGGGGGGACCAUCCUCCAAGGCUAAAUACUCCUGACUGACCGAUAGUGAACCAGUACCGUGAGGGAAAGGCGAAAAGAACCCCGGCGAGGGGAGUGAAAAAGAACCUGAAACCGUGUACGUACAAGCAGUGGGAGCACGCUUAGGCGUGUGACUGCGUACCUUUUGUAUAAUGGGUCAGCGACUUAUAUUCUGUAGCAAGGUUAACCGAAUAGGGGAGCCGAAGGGAAACCGAGUCUUAACUGGGCGUUAAGUUGCAGGGUAUAGACCCGAAACCCGGUGAUCUAGCCAUGGGCAGGUUGAAGGUUGGGUAACACUAACUGGAGGACCGAACCGACUAAUGUUGAAAAAUUAGCGGAUGACUUGUGGUCUGGGGGUGAAAGGCCAAUCAAACCGGGAGAUAGCUGGUUCUCCCCGAAAGCUAUUUAGGUAGCGCCUCGUGAAUUCAUCUCCGGGGGUAGAGCACUGUUUCGGCAAGGGGGUCAUCCCGACUUACCAACCCGAUGCAAACUGCGAAUACCGGAGAAUGUUAUCACGGGAGACACACGGCGGGUGCUAACGUCCGUCGUGAAGAGGGAAACAACCCAGACCGCCAGCUAAGGUCCCAAAGUCAUGGUUAAGUGGGAAACGAUGUGGGAAGGCCCAGACAGCCAGGAUGUUGGCUUAGAAGCAGCCAUCAUUUAAAGAAAGCGUAAUAGCUCACUGGUCGAGUCGGCCUGCGCGGAAGAUGUAACGGGGCUAAACCAUGCACCGAAGCUGCGGCAGCGACGCUGAUGCGUUGUUGGGUAGGGGAGCGUUCUGUAAGCCUGCGAAGGUGUGCUGUGAGGCAUGCUGGAGGUAUCAGAAGUGCGAAUGCUGACAUAAGUAACGAUAAAGCGGGUGAAAAGCCCGCUCGCCGGAAGACCAAGGGUUCCUGUCCAACGUUAAUCGGGGCAGGGUGAGUCGACCCCUAAGGCGAGGCCGAAAGGCGUAGUCGAUGGGAAACAGGUUAAUAUUCCUGUACUUGGUGUUACUGCGAAGGGGGGACGGAGAAGGCUAUGUUGGCCGGGCGACGGUUGUCCCGGUUUAAGCGUGUAGGCUGGUUUUCCAGGCAAAUCCGGAAAAUCAAGGCUGAGGCGUGAUGACGAGGCACUACGGUGCUGAAGCAACAAAUGCCCUGCUUCCAGGAAAAGCCUCUAAGCAUCAGGUAACAUCAAAUCGUACCCCAAACCGACACAGGUGGUCAGGUAGAGAAUACCAAGGCGCUUGAGAGAACUCGGGUGAAGGAACUAGGCAAAAUGGUGCCGUAACUUCGGGAGAAGGCACGCUGAUAUGUAGGUGAAGCGACUUGCUCGUGGAGCUGAAAUCAGUCGAAGAUACCAGCUGGCUGCAACUGUUUAUUAAAAACACAGCACUGUGCAAACACGAAAGUGGACGUAUACGGUGUGACGCCUGCCCGGUGCCGGAAGGUUAAUUGAUGGGGUUAGCGCAAGCGAAGCUCUUGAUCGAAGCCCCGGUAAACGGCGGCCGUAACUAUAACGGUCCUAAGGUAGCGAAAUUCCUUGUCGGGUAAGUUCCGACCUGCACGAAUGGCGUAAUGAUGGCCAGGCUGUCUCCACCCGAGACUCAGUGAAAUUGAACUCGCUGUGAAGAUGCAGUGUACCCGCGGCAAGACGGAAAGACCCCGUGAACCUUUACUAUAGCUUGACACUGAACAUUGAGCCUUGAUGUGUAGGAUAGGUGGGAGGCUUUGAAGUGUGGACGCCAGUCUGCAUGGAGCCGACCUUGAAAUACCACCCUUUAAUGUUUGAUGUUCUAACGUUGACCCGUAAUCCGGGUUGCGGACAGUGUCUGGUGGGUAGUUUGACUGGGGCGGUCUCCUCCUAAAGAGUAACGGAGGAGCACGAAGGUUGGCUAAUCCUGGUCGGACAUCAGGAGGUUAGUGCAAUGGCAUAAGCCAGCUUGACUGCGAGCGUGACGGCGCGAGCAGGUGCGAAAGCAGGUCAUAGUGAUCCGGUGGUUCUGAAUGGAAGGGCCAUCGCUCAACGGAUAAAAGGUACUCCGGGGAUAACAGGCUGAUACCGCCCAAGAGUUCAUAUCGACGGCGGUGUUUGGCACCUCGAUGUCGGCUCAUCACAUCCUGGGGCUGAAGUAGGUCCCAAGGGUAUGGCUGUUCGCCAUUUAAAGUGGUACGCGAGCUGGGUUUAGAACGUCGUGAGACAGUUCGGUCCCUAUCUGCCGUGGGCGCUGGAGAAUUGAGGGGGGCUGCUCCUAGUACGAGAGGACCGGAGUGGACGCAUCACUGGUGUUCGGGUUGUCAUGCCAAUGGCACUGCCCGGUAGCUAAAUGCGGAAGAGAUAAGUGCUGAAAGCAUCUAAGCACGAAACUUGCCCCGAGAUGAGUUCUCCCUGACUCCUUGAGAGUCCUGAAGGAACGUUGAAGACGACGACGUUGAUAGGCCGGGUGUGUAAGCGCAGCGAUGCGUUGAGCUAACCGGUACUAAUGAACCGUGAGGCUUAACCUU
This 2903-nucleotide ribosomal RNA is filed under the name Escherichia coli DEC14B. Its description in RNAcentral is "bacterial LSU rRNA". It matches the Rfam family "Bacterial large subunit ribosomal RNA". Lineage: Bacteria; Pseudomonadati; Pseudomonadota; Gammaproteobacteria; Enterobacterales; Enterobacteriaceae. The record is from RNAcentral.